RNAcentral lists this ribosomal RNA (746 nucleotides) under uncultured cyanobacterium. RNAcentral's name for it is "bacterial SSU rRNA". It matches the Rfam family "Bacterial small subunit ribosomal RNA", at positions 8 to 796 of the family's 1533-position model. Lineage: Bacteria; Bacillati; Cyanobacteriota. The record is from RNAcentral.
AGAGUUUGAUCCUGGCUCAGGAUGAACGCUGGCGGUAUGCUUAACACAUGCAAGUCGAACGGGGCUCUUCGGAGUUCAGUGGCGGACGGGUGAGUAACGCGUGAGAAUCUGGCUUCAGGUUCGGGACAACAGUGGGAAACUGCUGCUAAUACCGAAUGUGCAGAGAUGUGAAAGAUUAAUUGCCUGAAGAUGAGCUCGCGUCUGAUUAGCUAGUUGGUGGGGUAAGAGCCUACCAAGGCGACGAUCAGUAACUGGUCUGAGAGGAUGACCAGUCACACUGGGACUGAGACACGGCCCAGACUCCUACGGGAGGCAGCAGUGGGGAAUUUUCCGCAAUGGGCGAAAGCCUGACGGAGCAAUACCGCGUGAGGGAGGAAGGCUCUAGGGUUGUAAACCUCUUUUCUCAGGGAAGAACAAAAUGACGGUACCUGAGGAAUCAGCAUCGGCUAACUCCGUGCCAGCAGCCGCGGUAAUACGGAGGAUGCAAGCGUUAUCCGGAAUUAUUGGGCGUAAAGCGUCCGCAGGUGGCAGUUCAAGUCUGCUGUUAAAGGUCGAGGCUCAACCCCGAACAGGCAGUGGAAACUGAACAGCUAGAGUGCGGUAGGGGCAGAGGGAAUUCCCAGUGUAGCGGUGAAAUGCGUAGAGAUUGGGAAGAACACCGGUGGCGAAAGCGCUCUGCUAGGCCGUAACUGACACUCAUGGACGAAAGCUAGGGGAGCGAAUGGGAUUAGAUACCCCCGUAGUCC